Long non-coding RNA from Gadus morhua (Atlantic cod), 1248 nucleotides. The record is from Ensembl. Lineage: Eukaryota; Metazoa; Chordata; Actinopteri; Gadiformes; Gadidae.
GAACUUCUGGUUUCUGACAGGAUGCUCAUGAGUUCCUGCUCCUCCUCUUCAUGAAGAUGAAGAUGGAAGGUGAGACACUGCAGGAGAUCUCCACGUCACCCAGCUAUAUCUGCCCCGUCCAGAACUUUGAGUUCAGACUGCAGUGUGUACGCACAUGCACCAGGUAACGCUUGACUUCAUCGAACGUAUUAUUGUUGUCGCAUAAUACUACUAUAGUUCCUCCAUCAUUGAAUGAUGGAAAUCAGAGUCAAUCAAUGUUACGCCAACACUUUUGGCAUCAUGAUCUGGUCUGCUGUGUUCAAAUGGUGAUUUUCUGUUCUCUGCCCGUCUUAAAAGCUGCGGUGACAAGGUCUUCCAGAAGGAGGAGCAGAACCACUUGUCCUUGGACCUCCACCCGUCGUUGAUAGCUGGCCUCCAAUUCUACUUCAAAGUCAGUACACCGUUGUGUUGGUGUGUCCGAUUACGCUGGUCCACUGAUACUCACAGAGCACUUUCCCUCAGCCUUCAGAGUUGGAGUGCACCUGCCGGCAGUGCUCUGGAUGCCAGGCAACAGCGGUUCGGCAUUUCCUCACUCUGCCCAGGUGAGCCAUGAACUUGAGUCUGUUGUCUCCAAUGUUGCCUUGAAGCAGACUUUUCAUACGUACGGGCGCGUGUGUGCAUGCAGCGAUCGGACGAUGAACCGUUUGUGUCCACAGAGUGUUACUCCUUCACAUGAAGCGCUUCCACCACGACGGGGCACGGUUGAGGAAGGUGACCGAUGCUGUCAGCGUUCCUCCAUGGCUGUCUCUGGCCUCCCUCGUUGGAGAGCAGGGUGCUGCAGCUGGGAUAGACCCACUGAGAUCAAGUUAUGGAGAGGGGGAAAUCGCAUCUGGAGCAAAACCAAGUGCAAACAUGGGUAAGAAAAAAGUGAUGGAUUCCUAUCUCAUGCCCAACCGCUUGAGUUUUUCAGUUGUGUACAAAACAGGAUUGUUGGUGUGUUUCUCAGCAGCAGUGGAUCAUCUUGACAGUGCAGGAGACAGGGACAGAGGUCUUCAGGAAGUUCAUGGGGUGAGAGGGGCCAGGGAGAGAGCUGUAGUACACAGUGGGACAGAAUAUGGACAGAUUCAAGUGAUGAUGCAACAGAGAAGCCCCAAGUGUUUUUUACACUGGCACUAUGCCCGUCUUAUUUGAAACUUUUUCCCGGCAUUGGCGUUUUUGCACUUGUAAACAGUUAAUGGGGUUUGUAGCCUACAUUCAGACGCAGUCUAC